Molecule: long non-coding RNA, 1206 nt
Organism: Poecilia latipinna (sailfin molly)
Lineage: Eukaryota; Metazoa; Chordata; Actinopteri; Cyprinodontiformes; Poeciliidae
Exons: 2
Source: RefSeq, a predicted model, not a curated record
AAUUUGAUGAUUUUGUGUGAAAAUCCGGAGAAAGUGACUUUUAAAACCCUUAUUUUUUAUACCAGAGGAAUGAACGAUGCUGUUAGCAUAGAGGCUACAUGCUAGAAUAAAAGCUAACAGAGCGGUUAGCUGGAGCACGGAGGUGGAGGCUGAUGGUUGGGACUCGUUCUGAUCAAACAUUUCCUCUGUGCUGACAUGAACAGAAACAAACCGUUUCCUUUGGCCACGCUUUGAGUUAAACAGAAACUUUGAUUAGCAUAUAGUCAACAGCAGCUCUCAUUACAGAGCGGCGCGCCACGGCGCUAAUGGCCUCCUUUCUUCUUCUUCUUCUCCUCGCUGUGCGGAAUGACAACAGGAAGGAGAUAAUGAGCCGCCGCUGCCAGUCUGAGCAGAAAGAGAAGAGGAAGAGCUCAAGAUGUCUCUGAGGCCUCCUUAUCACUAGAAUACUGAUAACUUUGUGGCCCUUGGAGGAGUUGCAGAGUGUCAUUCUUGGCCCCCAUGCCCAGCGCUUGGCCCCUCAGGUAGCUGCAGCGAUCCGGCCCGGCCCGCUUAGUGGUGACCCUGAAACGGCCUCACACUCCACUGCACAUCCAGGUCAGCGCGCCGCUGCAGCGGGUCGAUGAGCGGCACACUAACAGAGCAGAAGCCCCGCCCCCGCUGCGAGGCCCCGCCCACACCGCCAUGCUGGAUCCAUUUAUCGAGCCGAGCUGCACAGAACGGCCGGCGCCAGUUCUGCUGACGGUCGGUAAGGGCUACGCAUGAUUCAGAGUAAACUCAGGGUCAAAGUUCAGCUGAGGCUGAAUUAAUUCUGCUGACGUUCACCGACUCCUUCCAGCUAAAUUAUCACACAUUUUCUCACAUUAAAACUGAAAAUUACAUUUUAUUUCUCUGGGAUUUUAGGUGAUAAACAUGGGGUGGUCAAAGUGUGGCCCGGGAGCCUUUUGUGGCCCUUGAAAUGAUUUUGUUCGGCCCCUGAAUACAAAUCAAGAAUGGUAAAACAACAGAUGGCAACAUUUUUUAAAGUUACUGUUUUAGUUAUGAAAUCAUUUUAUGUGUAUAAAUGAUUUUGAUUAUAUUAUUGGACAAAAUGUAAAGUUUGUGUCUGUUUCUCACUGAAUGUAGUUUUUUAUUUUCAUGUUUUUAAAGCACUUUGAACGGCCUUGUAGCUAAAAUGUGCCGCACAAAUAAACUUGACUACUUAACUGA